This 689-nucleotide ribosomal RNA is filed under the name uncultured Bacteroidales bacterium. Its description in RNAcentral is "bacterial SSU rRNA". It matches the Rfam family "Bacterial small subunit ribosomal RNA", at positions 32 to 715 of the family's 1533-position model. Lineage: Bacteria; Pseudomonadati; Bacteroidota; Bacteroidia; Bacteroidales. The record is from RNAcentral.
AACGCUAGCUACAGGCUUAACACAUGCAAGUCGACGGGUUUCGAAGGAGCUUGCUCCCAAGAGACGACCGGCGCACGGGUGAGUAACGCGUAUCCAACCUGCCCUUCAUAUUGGGAUAGCCUUCCGAAAGGGAGAUUAAUACCGAAUAACAUGAGAAGAUUGCAUGAACCUCUCAUGAAAGCUCCGGCGAUGAAGGAUGGGGAUGCGUUCCAUUAGGUAGUAGGCGGGGUAACGGCCCACCUAGCCGACGAUGGAUAGGGGUUCUGAGAGGAAGGUCCCCCACACUGGAACUGAGACACGGUCCAGACUCCUACGGGAGGCAGCAGUGAGGAAUAUUGGUCAAUGGGCGCAAGCCUGAACCAGCCAAGUAGCGUGAAGGAUGACUGCCCUAUGGGUUGUAAACUUCUUUUAUACGGGAACAAACCCCGGUACGUGUACCGGAUUGCGUGUACCGUAUGAAUAAGCAUCGGCUAACUCCGUGCCAGCAGCCGCGGUAAUACGGAGGAUGCGAGCGUUAUCCGGAUUUAUUGGGUUUAAAGGGAGCGUAGGUGGUCUGUUAAGCCAGCUGUGAAAUACUGUAGCUCAACUACAGCCGUGCAGUUGGAACUGGCAGACUUGAGUGCACUAGAGGAAGGUGGAAUUCGUGGUGUAGCGGUGAAAUGUUUAGAUAUCACGAAGAACUCCGAUUG